UGCCCUUUCUUAUGUAUUGGCAAUGACCAGUCAAAUUCGGCAACUGGAUCAGUGGGUCCACCUAUCAUAGAGUGAAUGCUUUUUUAUAGUUGCCUCACUACCACGUAUGGCCCACAUGUCAUGAAAAAUAAACCUUCCUCCCAAUCCCUUCCCUACCCGAUCCAGAUCGGGAUCCCACCUCGUGUCAGCUGACGUCGUUGCCGGCAGCGUGCGUAUAGGGACAUGGCGAAGUGCUCCAGAGAGCGACGCCGGGGACGUGGAGCAGCUGCUCCGGUUGGGCCACCGAGACCUCGCGCUACUCUGCCAUGAGCAGGUCAUCCGGGAGCGGCGGCGGGCUCGUCUAUGCGGCCAACCGGUGUGGCGACUUGCCGGAGCUGCCGGACGCCCGCGGCCUCCUCGCCGUGCGGAGCUACAGGACGCCCGAGCCCUCAUCGCCACAAAGUUGCAGCGCCACACCUCGGGACUAGCCUCUGGCGCCCUUCCUCGGCGUCCGUGGCAGCAGGCUUGCCUGCACCACCGCCAGGAGAGGACUCGCAUCGUGCCGGCAGAUCCGGCGCCUACCCAGGUCACCGCACCGCUGGACCAUCGCCGGCGACGAGUUCAGGCCACCAUGGCGAUGGCACCCUGAGCCCCAGGACAGAAAAAACUGCCGAUCUUCCUCGCCGCCGGUCGCCAGCGCCUCCCCGACCUCCAUCCCUGCCGUAUCCGGUCCACCCCGAGUCUCCCGUGGCCUGGUUCCGCACGUCUCUCCAUCGCGCCCGCAUGCCCCGUGCUGAUUUGGGCCUCCCCUGCAUCCACCGCCGCCCCUUGUAGUUUGACCUCGCCUGACGCCACCUCGCGCCCUCCGGCCCAGCUCGCCAACUCGCCAGCCUGCCCUGACUUUCCGAUGGCAAUUUCUCACCGUCGCUGUGGUUGUUUGCCCAGUGGCAGAGAGAGUGAGAAAGGGGAGUGGAGAGAGAUACUGAUUUUUCUAUUGCCUUUUUUUCUUUUCUAUAUGGUUUGGACCCACUUGUAAGUGUCAUGUUUUCUCUCUCUAUAUUUUUAUUGGAGUUGUAAGGAGGGGUAAAA
Triticum urartu is the source of this 1068-nucleotide non-coding RNA. Lineage: Eukaryota; Viridiplantae; Streptophyta; Magnoliopsida; Poales; Poaceae. The record is from RefSeq and is a predicted model, not a curated record.